UUGCGUAGGUGGUAUGUUAAGUGGAGCGUGAAAGCGUGCGGCUCAACCGCAUUGUUGCGUUCCAAACUGACAAACUAGAGGACGAGAGAGGUUAUUGGAAUUCCCAGUGUAGGAGUGAAAUCCGUAGAUAUUGGGAGGAACACCGAUGGCGUAGGCAGAUAACUGGCUCGUUCCUGACACUAAGGCACGAAAGCGUGGGUAGCAAACG
RNAcentral lists this ribosomal RNA (208 nucleotides) under uncultured bacterium. RNAcentral describes it as "partial 16S ribosomal RNA". It matches the Rfam family "Bacterial small subunit ribosomal RNA", at positions 567 to 774 of the family's 1533-position model. The record is from RNAcentral.